This 253-nucleotide ribosomal RNA is filed under the name uncultured bacterium. RNAcentral's name for it is "partial 16S ribosomal RNA". It matches the Rfam family "Bacterial small subunit ribosomal RNA", at positions 524 to 776 of the family's 1533-position model. The record is from RNAcentral.
GACGGGGGAUGCAAGUGUUAUCCGGAAUCACUGGGCGUAAAGCGUCUGUAGGUGGUUGCAUAAGUCAACUGUUAAAUCUUGAGGCUUAACCUCAAAAUCGCAGUCGAAACUGUUUGACUAGAGUAUAGUAGGGGUAAAGGGAAUUUCCAGUGGAGCGGUGAAAUGCGUAGAUAUUGGAAAGAACACCGAUGGCGAAGGCACUUUACUGGGCUAUUACUAACACUGAGAGACGAAAGCUAGGGUAGCAAAUGGG